CCUACGGGGUGCUGCAGUGGGGAAUAUUGGACAAUGGGCGAAAGCCUGAUCCAGCCAUGCCGCGUGUGUGAAGAAGGCCUUCGGGUUGUAAAGCACUUUCAGUGGGGAAGAAAGCCUUGGGGCUAAUACCCUCGAGGAAGGACAUCACCCACAGAAGAAGCACCGGCUAACUCCGUGCCAGCAGCCGCGGUAAUACGGAGGGUGCGAGCGUUAAUCGGAAUUACUGGGCGUAAAGCGCGCGUAGGCGGUCUGAUAAGCCGGUUGUGAAAGCCCCGGGCUCAACCUGGGAACGGCAUCCGGAACUGUCAGGCUAGAGGGCAGGAGAGGAAGGUAGAAUUCCCGGUGUAGCGGUGAAAUGCGUAGAGAUCGGGAGGAAUACCAGUGGCGAAGGCGGCCUUCUGGACUGACACUGACGCUGAGGUGCGAAAGCGUGGGUAGCAAACAGGAUUAGAUACCCUAGUAGUC
RNAcentral lists this ribosomal RNA (465 nucleotides) under Vreelandella stevensii. Its description in RNAcentral is "partial 16S ribosomal RNA". It matches the Rfam family "Bacterial small subunit ribosomal RNA", at positions 338 to 795 of the family's 1533-position model. The record is from RNAcentral. Lineage: Bacteria; Pseudomonadati; Pseudomonadota; Gammaproteobacteria; Oceanospirillales; Halomonadaceae.